RNAcentral lists this ribosomal RNA (721 nucleotides) under uncultured Nitrososphaerota archaeon. Its description in RNAcentral is "bacterial SSU rRNA". It matches the Rfam family "Archaeal small subunit ribosomal RNA", at positions 8 to 737 of the family's 1478-position model. Lineage: Archaea; Thermoproteati; Nitrososphaerota. The record is from RNAcentral.
UUGAUCCUGCCGGACCCGACUGCUAUCAGAAUAGGACUAAGCCAUGCGAGUCAACGUAGCAGUACGUGGCAUACGGCUCAGUAACACGUAGUCAACAUGCCCAGGGGACGUGGAUAACCUCGGGAAACUGAGGAUAAACCACGAUAGGUCAUAAUAUCUGGAAUGAUUUAUGGCUAAAAUCUACAUGGCCCCUGGAUUGGACUGCGGCCGAUCAGGCUGUUGGUGAGGUAAUGGCCCACCAAACCUAAAACCGGUACGGGCUCUGAGAGAAGGAGCCCGGAGAUGGGCACUGAGACAAGGGCCCAGGCCCUAUGGGGCGCAGCAGGCGCGAAACCUCUGCAAUAGGCGAAAGCUUGACAGGGUUACUCUGAGUGAUGCCCGCUAAGGGUAUCUUUUGGCACCUCUAAAAAUGGUGCAGAAUAAGGGGUGGGCAAGUCUGGUGUCAGCCGCCGCGGUAAUACCAGCACCCCGAGUUGUCGGGACGAUUAUUGGGCCUAAAGCAUCCGUAGCCUGUUCUGCAAGUCCUCCGUUAAAUCCACCUGCUUAACGGAUGGGCUGCGGGGGAUACUGCAGAGCUAGGAGGCGGGAGAGGCAAACGGUACUCAGUGGGUAGGGGUAAAAUCCUUUGAUCUACUGAAGACCACCAGUGGCGAAGGCGGUUUGCCAGAACGCGCUCGACGGUGAGGGAUGAAAGCUGGGGGAGCAAACCGGAUUAGAUACC